GUAGUCCACGCUGUAAACGAUGAGUGCUAGGUGUUCGGGGUUUCGAUACCCUGGGUGCCGAAGUUAACGCAUUAAGCACUCCGCCUGGGGAGUACGGUCGCAAGACUGAAACUCAAAGGAAUUGACGGGGACCCGCACAAGCAGUGGAGUAUGUGGUUUAAUUCGAAGCAACGCGAAGAACCUUACCAGGUCUUGACAUCGGCAUGACCGGCUUAGAGAUAAGCCUUUCCUUCGGGACAUGCCAGACAGGUGGUGCAUGGUUGUCGUCAGCUCGUGUCGUGAGAUGUUGGGUUAAGUCCCGCAACGAGCGCAACCCUUGACUUUAGUUGCCAGCAUUUUAAGAUGGGCACUCUAGAGUGACUGCCGGUGACAAACCGGA
This 379-nucleotide ribosomal RNA is filed under the name uncultured bacterium. Its description in RNAcentral is "bacterial SSU rRNA". It matches the Rfam family "Bacterial small subunit ribosomal RNA", at positions 790 to 1167 of the family's 1533-position model. The record is from RNAcentral.